Molecule: ribosomal RNA, 475 nt
Filed under: uncultured organism
Description: partial 16S ribosomal RNA
Rfam family: Bacterial small subunit ribosomal RNA
Source: RNAcentral
ACUCCUACGGGAGGCAGCAGUGGGGAGUUUUGGACAAUGGGCGAAAGCCUGAUCCAGCCAUGCCGCGUGCAGGAUGAAGGCCUUCGGGUUGUAAACUGCUUUUGUACGGAACGAAACGGCCUUUUCUAAUAAAGAGGGCUAAUGACGGUACCGUAAGAAUAAGCACCGGCUAACUACGUGCCAGCAGCCGCGGUAAUACGUAGGGUGCAAGCGUUAAUCGGAAUUACUGGGCGUAAAGCGUGCGCAGGCGGUUAUGUAAGACAGUUGUGAAAUCCCCGGACUCAACCUGGGAACUGCAUCUGUGACUGCAUAGCUAGAGUACGGUAGAGGGGGAUGGAAUUCCGCGUGUAGCAGUGAAAUGCGUAGAUAUGCGGAGGAACACCGAUGGCGAAGGCAAUCCCCUGGACCUGUACUGACGCUCAUGCACGAAAGCGUGGGGAGCAAACAGGAUUAGAAACCCGGGUAGUCCCAUGAU